AUUGAACGCUGGCGGCAGGCCUAACACAUGCAAGUCGAACGAGUGGCGGACGGGUGAGUAAUGUCUGGGAAACUGCCUGAUGGAGGGGGAUAACUACUGGAAACGGUAGCUAAUACCGCAUACCAUCGGAUGUGCCCAGAUGGGAUUAGCUAGGAGGUGGGGUAAAGGCUCACCUAGGCGACGAUGCCUAGCUGGUUGGAGAGGAUGACCAGCCGCACUGGAACUGAGACACGGUCGAGACUCCUACGGGAGGCAGCAGUGGGGAAGAUGGCACAAUGGGCGCAAGCCUGAUGCAGCCAGGCCGCGUGUAUGAAGAAGGCCUUCGGGUUGUAAAGUACUUUCAGCGGGGAGGCGUUACCCGCAGAAGAAGCACCGGCUAACUCCGUGCCAGCAGCCGCGGUAAUUC
Molecule: ribosomal RNA, 406 nt
Filed under: uncultured bacterium
Lineage: Bacteria
Description: partial 16S ribosomal RNA
Rfam family: Bacterial small subunit ribosomal RNA
Source: RNAcentral